Molecule: long non-coding RNA, 816 nt
Filed under: Homo sapiens (human)
Lineage: Eukaryota; Metazoa; Chordata; Mammalia; Primates; Hominidae
Description: lncRNA associated with SART3 regulation of splicing
Source: RNAcentral
GGCUCCACCAACAUCCCGCUAAGAACUCUUCACCCUCAAGUGCACUGAGGGGAACCCCAGUGAAGGCCAAUGAGGGAAACCACACAUCACUGAGGGCCGACGGAGGCCCCCAAAGCUCAGAUCGCUGUGCUCGCCAGUAGGUAAGCAUCCCCUGUGAAGAAAGCCUACCUUCUCUCUCCCUCCCCAGAUCCCCAUAUCCAGACAGAGUGAGGAAAUGCAUAAAAACAAAACACAAAACACACUCCUUCCCCAGGUCCCCAGACACCCUUAACACAGCUAUCUGCAGGAUUGAAUGAUUGCUGGGACCACACAAUUUACACUUGGCUCUCGUGGUCCGGAGGGGAGGACUGCGCCAGCAUGAGAAGACCAGAGAGCAAGUAAAUGGAAAUUUGGCGAGAUCCUGUGGCUGCUGUUGGUGGCUGCAGCCAGACAGGAAAACUGAGAUGGUGUGAGCAGAAAGGGCUGGAAGGAGUUGGCUUUUUCCAAGAAAUUACAGCGGAAUCUUCUUCCAAGAGGCUGGGGGCCUCUGCAGACAUGAUCUCAUUACUUACCCCCCAAAUCCCCCAGCUUCCCUACGGACCAAGGACCAGGGGUCUCUGCCCAGUCCUAGCUCCAAGGAAACUCACACUUGGCAGAUUUUCCUAAUCGGAGCUGGCCUUGAAGUUUGCUCACUGAUAAUCACCAGAAAGUCACCCCAACAAUGGGUGAUGCCAGAGUGUCCUCAAGCUUCAAGGGUCCGUAAAAACACUUGACUCCCCCAGGACAAAAAUGACUGGGGGAAACAUGCAGUUCUUCAAAGAGAACGGUUUCAUUCUG